Molecule: long non-coding RNA, 1980 nt
Organism: Acinonyx jubatus (cheetah)
Lineage: Eukaryota; Metazoa; Chordata; Mammalia; Carnivora; Felidae
Exons: 3
Source: RefSeq, a predicted model, not a curated record
UACUUUGAAUUGCAAAAGCCUAAAUAACCUGAUCACCAAAAUUUUUCUACAUUUCUAUGUAACUGUUAUAUACUGAGAGCAGGCAUAUCAACUUCUCAGACUACCAUGUGUUAGGGGUCUUUUGUUGUUGUUUGGAGACUUUACCAAUAUAUUUCACACUAUGAUGUAAUAAUAAAUACCCACAUAUUCAUGUUAGAGUUCAAAUCUGUGUGAACUUCAAGUAAUUCUUAGAUGAAUACUAUACUACAGCCAAUAUAAUAACAUGUGAAAACACAUAUGAACUAUUAUAAAAAUAUUUAUAAUAAAUAAAUAUUUCUUCUCCUAGUCCCUUCUUCUGUUUCUCUCUCUAUCCUCUGUCUUCUUUUCUCCACCCCCCCCUUUUUUUAGAUACCUAAGACCAGAAUUCAGAGGUAAGAGGAUUAAACCACAAAUGGUCAUAACUUAUUUAUAACAUGUGUAAUCUGUGGAUAAUCAAGAGGUGAUGUAAUAAGAUCACAGUGGUGUAGAAGAUUCUGCAUUGAAAUUGAUACCUUGCUUGCUUCCUUGUAGGAACUGAAUAUAAAAUAGUCCUGGAAACAGAUUGUUUGGUCUGAGUAUAUCAUUGAAGACCAUUUCAAAUCAGAUAUUUUCAGGGCAACUCCUCACUCCGCGCUCCCAGUUAUAAGUCUCCAGAGGGUCUGGGAGUUAGAGGGAAAGGGCUGUUUUAAGACAUUCCACAAGUAAUCCUGCAAUGGCCAAGAGGAGAGACAAUUUCACACCUGCCUCUUCAAGUUGACUUUGGACUCCCAUACCUUUUUCCAUUUGGAAUCGCGUCAAUCAGUUUUACAGCUGAAGGCAGUGACGUGCUGACAGAAGGUGAAUGCUACGCGAUCUGCUUUAUGAUUACAUUUGCUGUUUACUGCUCUAAAAGUUUGGAGAAAUUAUUUUCUUUUCAAACUGGGAAUGAAAGCUUCAUAAAUAUUCAUCUCAGUUAAUAAUAUUGUGGGAACCCUGGAUGCCAGAGGUAAGUAGCACUCAGUUCAUGACAUCUUAGCUUGACAAGGGACCAGUUUUCUUAUUUGGGAUGUGAGUCUGUCCUUGAUGUUUAUAAACUGGUUCUUGGAACUUCCUUUCUUCUCAUGACACCAUGAACCAAAAUGUAGUGAUUUGCCUUUUUCCAUCUCAUCCAUGAGAGGUGUUGUCUUUUUUUUUUUCUUUUUUUGGCCUUUUCUUUUCUUCCAAUAAUUUUCCUUCUGUUUCUUAAUUAUUUGGUUCCCACCUCUGUUUAUAGAUUAUAUUCCACCCACUUUAGAAUCCAUACUAUAAAAAUACCCAAAGUUUCAUUUUUGUGUCUGAAGGACACAGUGUUAAAUCUCCAAAUACCAAUAUAUAUUACCUGAGUAGCUAUUGUUACCUGACACCAUUGUCAGAACAGAAUUCAUUUAUGUCUGUCCAAAUCAGCUUUCUUGAUGUUUUUAUAUCAUCACAGUUCUAAACAUAGAUGCAAAAUCUCUGUAUCUUCUAGGUUUAAAAUUUCCUAUUUUUCUUCAUCUAAUUCAAUCAAUUAUUGGUUCUUAUUUUUUGCUUAUAAUGCUCUUAAAAUUUCUUUUUCCUAGAAUGGUUGAAGAAUUAUAUUUAAAAACUGGGAAUAUUAACAUCUUAAACUUAUGCUUAAAUGAUAUAAUGGCCAGCCUCCAAGAUGGCUCCCAAUGCUAUCCACAUCUUAUGUUCAUGUCCUUAUGUGAUUUGUUUCCACGUUUCAUUAGGCUAAGUUUGAGUGGUAAAUAGAACUCAGCAGAAUUGAUUGUGUGUCACUUCUGAGAUUCUGUCAUAAAAGACACUACAGUUUCCAUCCUGGCCAUGCUUUUUCUCAUGCCUUUUCCUCUUGACUCAUUUCCACCAUGAGAUAAAAAACUCUACAGAGAAGUCCAUGUGGCAACUGGUCUGAGACUACUGUCCAAAGCCAGUGGAGACCUACUGCCGGCAGUCAAGUGAGUGAGU